RNAcentral lists this ribosomal RNA (172 nucleotides) under Acidobacteriota bacterium. RNAcentral's name for it is "Acidobacteria bacterium partial 16S ribosomal RNA". It matches the Rfam family "Bacterial small subunit ribosomal RNA", at positions 1 to 168 of the family's 1533-position model. The record is from RNAcentral. Lineage: Bacteria; Pseudomonadati; Acidobacteriota.
UUCAACUUGAGAGUUUGAUCCUGGCUCAGAAUCAACGCUGGCGGCGUGCCUAAUACAUGCAAGUCGUACGCGAAAGCGGGCUUCGGCCCGUGAGUAGAGUGGCAAACGGGUGAGUAGCGCGUGGGUGACCUACCUUCGAGUGGGGGAUAACCUUCCGAAAGGAGGGCUAAUA